RNAcentral lists this small RNA (766 nucleotides) under Pongo abelii (Sumatran orangutan). Its description in RNAcentral is "retained intron". The record is from RNAcentral. Lineage: Eukaryota; Metazoa; Chordata; Mammalia; Primates; Hominidae.
UUUUGUAUUUUUAGUAGAGAUGGGGUUUCUCCAUGUUGGUCAGGCUGGUCUCGAACUCCCGACCUCAGAUGAUCUGCCCGCCUCAGCCUCCGAAAAUGCUGGGAUUACAGGUGUGAGCCACCGUGCCUGGCCAAUGUUUAUCAACAUUCUUUUGACUCCAUCACAUCUGAGGGAUAUGGUACAUAUUUCCACCAGAAACAGUGAAUCAUUAAGGCAUUGAUUCUAACGUGUGGGACAGAAUUGGCAAUUGAUAUGUCAGUUUCUUCUUUAAAACAAUAACAAUAUGUUCUCCCCUUUUGAAUUUCCUCUAGGCCAUACUGGAGAUGUUACUAUUCAAACACAGAUGCAGUCAUUUAUGUAGUAGACAGUUGUGACCGAGACCGAAUUGGCAUUUCCAAAUCAGAGUUAGUUGCCAUGUUGGAGGAAGAAGAGCUGAGAAAAGCCAUUUUAGUGGUGUUUGCAAAUAAACAGGACAUGGAACAGGCCAUGACUUCUUCAGAGAUGGCAAAUUCACUUGGGUUACCUGCCUUGAAGGACCGAAAAUGGCAAAUAUUCAAAACAUCAGCAACCAAAGGCACUGGCCUCGAUGAGGCAAUGGAAUGGUUAGUUGAAACAUUAAAAAGCAGACAGUAAUUCAGUCCAUUCUUCUCCCCUGAAAUGAAGACUACAUCACCUCUCUCCCUUUGGAAACAGUCAAGUGUACUUCACACUACUAGAUGUUAAAACUAUAUGAUUAUUGGCAUAUACUGACUGACUGCAAUGUUUG